AAGGAGUCUAACAUGCAUGCGAGUGUUUGGGUGGAAAACCCGAGCGCGCAAUGAAAGUGAAAGUUGGGAUCCCUGUCGUGGGGAGCACCGACGCCCAUACCAGACCUACUGUGACGGAUAUGCGGUUGAGCAUGUAUGUCGGGACCCGAAAGAUGGUGAACUAUGCCUGAAUAGGGUGAGGCCAGAGGAAACUCUGGUGGAGGCUCGUAGCGAUUCUGACGAGCAAAUCGAUCGUCAAAUUUGGGUAUAGGGGCGAAAGACUAAUCGAACCAUCUAGUAGCUGGUUCCUGC
This 291-nucleotide unclassified non-coding RNA is filed under the name uncultured fungus. RNAcentral's name for it is "partial contains 5.8S rRNA, ITS2 and 28S rRNA". It matches the Rfam family "Eukaryotic large subunit ribosomal RNA", at positions 668 to 961 of the family's 3401-position model. Lineage: Eukaryota; Fungi. The record is from RNAcentral.